CACUUUAAUUUUGAGUGUGACUCCAAAUCCAGACCUCCAUGGGUUGAUAAAUUGGAUUUCCAUUGAUUAUUUUUGUGUGAUUUUGUUGUCAGCACAUUCAACUAUGUAAAGAAAAAAGUAUUUCAUAAGAUUAUUUCUUUCAUUCAGAUCUAGGAUGUGUCGUUUAAGUGUUCCCUUUAUUUUUUUGAGCAGUAUAUAUUCAAGAAGCAUGUUUGAAAAAAUACAAUAUUGAACAGAUUUUUAUCGUCAUCCUGUUUUCACACACACACACACACACACACACACACACACACACACACACACACACACACACAAAUAACCUCAAGUUCUCCACUUGGUGAAAGAUGGUCUGUUAGAACGUACAUCAGUGUUUUACGCUUACCGUUACCCUCCUGGACAGAUUCAUGUGUAAUGCUGUUUACCCAGAGACCAAAAGACUGUUCACUUACUUGUUUAACUCAUUCCUAAUCUACUGACCAUCGCCAAACCACAGUUGAGAGAGAAUCAGAGAAGAAGAUGUUUGUGGACAAUGAUGAGUCAGGGACCAUUAUAGGUGACUGAAUGUGUGGGGAUUUAAUGUGUGAAUAAGAGAAAGAGAUUCUGUAUAUAUAAUAAUAAUACAUAGAUAAACUUUACACUUAAGAUCAUAUGACUCCCAUUUCACUUACAAACACGUCUGGGGUUUAAAUAUGCAAUUAAGUCUAUAUAUAUAUUCAACAGACUUGGAUUUCAUAUAGAAAUGCUAUUUUCUGUGUAUUGUUACAUCUGCAUCAGGUUUAAUGGAGACAGAGACAGCACUGUGUCUCCAAGCAUGUUGGGUUUUGUACUCCAUUUUGUUCAGAUUAUUUUGUUGUUGUAAAUAAUAUAUUGUCUUAUUCAAAUAAUAACAAUAUAUGGUGGAUCUGCUGGACAAAAUCACAGUACAUAAGACAAGUUUAUGGAUCAGAGCCUAUAGAAAUGUUAUUGACUCUCUAAAGGGUGGGGGUUGGUAAUGAAGAAGUGGACUAUGCACUGGAGAAAGUCAUGUUGGAGAGGGCUCUGUAUUGUAUUGGGGAGAGGGAUGUGCUAUUAGCAGACAUUCUUAUCCAGAGUAGAGUAGUGAGUGCAUGCAUUUUCAUAACUCACAAUGGUGUCAGAUCAGGUUGCAUAUUGAAUCAAACCAGUAGAAUCCCUGAAUUCACCAGCGCUCCUCACUCCACAACCCACAAUAUGCACAUUCUCCCCUAUCCCCAUCCCCAAGGUUUGUCAUACAAACUGAAAAAGAGACUCGGGGUGAAUAAGGAUCUUACCUGAUUGCUACAGAUCUGAGCACAUCUUCUACAUUUUGAAAAUGUUGUUUCUUCUUGUUCUUCCACAGAAAUUAUAUAAAGAUG
This 1373-nucleotide long non-coding RNA is filed under the name Salmo salar (Atlantic salmon). RNAcentral's name for it is "lncRNA (ENSSSAG00000096440.1)". The record is from RNAcentral. Lineage: Eukaryota; Metazoa; Chordata; Actinopteri; Salmoniformes; Salmonidae.